Molecule: ribosomal RNA, 399 nt
Filed under: uncultured Blastocladiomycota
Lineage: Eukaryota; Fungi; Blastocladiomycota
Description: partial small subunit ribosomal RNA
Rfam family: Eukaryotic small subunit ribosomal RNA
Source: RNAcentral
GCUUGUCUCAAAGAUUAAGCCAUGCAUGUCUAAGUAUAAACAAAUUUAUAGUGAAACUGCGAAUGGCUCAUUAUAUCAGUUAUAGUUUAUUUGGCGAUAAAAACUACUUGGAUAACCGUAGUAAUUCUAGAGCUAAUACAUGCAUCAUCCCCCAUCUCGGGGGAUGAUGCAUGUAUUAGAUACAAAACCAACCCGGGCAACCGGUCCUUUGGUGAUUCAUGAUAACUUUGCGAAUCGCAUAGCUUUAAUGCUGGCGAUGGGUCAUUCAAAUUUCUGCCCUAUCAACUUUCGACGGUAGGAUAGAGGCCUACUGUGGUGAUAACGGGUAACGAAGAAUAAGGGUUCGAUUUCGGAGAGGGAGCCUGAGAAACGGCUACCACAUCCAAGGAAGGCAGCAGG